AAAACAUUUAGAAGCUUGUUAUAGUCGGAUUUCAUUACAAAAUUGAAAAAAGAAGGAAUCAAACAACAAAAUUUUAAAUUCUAGUUCCAAUUUAUAUGCGCAAGUCAGAAUAUUGGGGUACUUUACCAAGAAAAGGGUAUGUACGAGAGAAAAUCAAGAACUGUUGCUAUGUUAUAGAUAUCUUAUGUUAAUGAACAAGGAGUUCAAAGUUAAUAUUACUUUUAUGAUCUAUUUUACCGUCGUCGCAUGUUCUUGUAGGAGGAAUUCGAUUUGCAAAACUGUAGAAAAAGAAAGGCAGAUUUUCGACACUAAUCGAGGUAGAAUAUGGAUCCAUGGCUCUCUUGAACCUGUAGGGAGUUUCCGGUCAAAUCCACACCGUCGCCGCCGGUGAAAGAGGAAGAAAUUAUUGGCCGGUCGGGGAAUUUCGUUUUUGUUAAAAUGGGAGAGUGGGAGUUUGAGUGUGAGAUGUGGAAGGGCAAAAUUGGAAGGC
Molecule: long non-coding RNA, 490 nt
Filed under: Olea europaea (common olive)
Lineage: Eukaryota; Viridiplantae; Streptophyta; Magnoliopsida; Lamiales; Oleaceae
Description: long non-coding RNA (OEUR_LNC010851)
Source: RNAcentral